AGUUUGAUCCUGGCUCAGAUUGAACGCUGGCGGCAGGCCUAACACAUGCAAGUCGAGCGGGGUUUUCGGACCUAGCGGCGGACGGGUGAGUAAUGCGUAGGAAGCUACCCGAUAGAGGGGGAUACCAGUUGGAAACGACUGUUAAUACCGCAUAAUGUCUACGGACCAAAGUGUGGGACCUUCGGGCCUCAUGCUAUCGGAUGCGCCUACGUGGGAUUAGCUAGUUGGUGAGGUAAUGGCUCACCAAGGCGGCGAUCUCUAGCUGGUUUGAGAGGAUGAUCAGCCACACUGGAACUGAGACACGGUCCAGACUCCUACGGGAGGCGGCAGUGGGGAAUAUUGGACAAUGGGCGCAAGCCUGAUCCAGCCAUGCCACGUGUGUGAAGAAGGCCUUCGGGUUGUAAAGCACUUUCAGCGAGGAGGAAGGGGUAGGUGUUAAUAGCAUCUACUUUUGACGUUACUCGCAGAAGAAGCACCGGCUAACUCUGUGCCAGCAGCCGCGGUAAUACAGAGGGUGCAAGCGUUAAUCGGAAUUACUGGGCGUAAAGCGCACGCAGGCGGUUGGUUAAGUCAGAUGUGAAAGCCCCGGGCUCAACCUGGGAAUUGCAUUUGA
Molecule: ribosomal RNA, 613 nt
Filed under: uncultured bacterium
Lineage: Bacteria
Description: bacterial SSU rRNA
Rfam family: Bacterial small subunit ribosomal RNA
Source: RNAcentral